Molecule: ribosomal RNA, 254 nt
Filed under: uncultured bacterium
Lineage: Bacteria
Description: partial 16S ribosomal RNA
Rfam family: Bacterial small subunit ribosomal RNA
Source: RNAcentral
UACGUAGGGUGCAAGCGUUGUCCGGAAUUAUUGGGCGUAAAGAGCUCGUAGGCGGUCUGUCGCGUCGGAUGUGAAAACCCAGGGCUCAACCCUGGGCCUGCAUUCGAUACGGGCAGACUAGAGUUCGGUAGGGGAGACUGGAAUUCCUGGUGUAGCGGUGAAAUGCGCAGAUAUCAGGAGGAACACCGGUGGCGAAGGCGGGUUGCUGGGCUGACACUGACGCUGACAGCGCGAAAGCUAGGGGAGCGAACGGG